Molecule: long non-coding RNA, 1237 nt
Filed under: Mus musculus (house mouse)
Lineage: Eukaryota; Metazoa; Chordata; Mammalia; Rodentia; Muridae
Description: CCCTC-binding factor like, opposite strand
Source: RNAcentral
CUCUGCUUAACCCUCCUGUGCCGGGCUCACGAACAGGACGCAGCCAGCUUCUUGGAACCUUGGGCAUGGUGGAACCUUGGGCACAGACUGCUAGAAAACGGAACUGACCAGGAGAUGCCUGCCACACACGGCCUUUGUCUUUCUGAGAGAACUGAUGGGAGGCCGCACAAGCUACUCAGGAAGCUGAGGAUGGAACCCGGGACCUUUCCCUUCGUGGGCUGGGCAAGUGCCUUCCUCAGCUUCUGGGAUUUUCUCCAGACAGUGAAGCCCCAGGUGAAGAGAGAACUCGCUGGGGCUCCCUGAGAUUUAUGGUGCGUCUGUGAUGAAAGGCUACCCCGGCCGGGCACCUCACCUGUGUGGGUGUUCACAUGGUUCCUAAGAAGAGUGACAGUCCGGAAGGCCUUCAGGCACAGGUGACACAGGUGUGGCCUCUCAUUGCUGUGAAUUUUGAUGUGACGAUUGAAAGUUGAGAGCUUGGAGGAAGUGAACGGGCAGGUGUCACACUGAAAGCUCUGAGGCUUUCCUGUAGAGAGAAGACACACACCAGUGUAGCUGGAAAGAUCGUCCCUUGAGCAGCCCCUCAGAGGCCGACGUGACUUCCUUAGCUUAGUGCUGUUGAGGAUUAUGAGAUGUCUCAAAACCUCGGGACACUCUGUUUUUGAUGAAGAACACCUUGUUAAGAAGUACCCAGCUUCUGUUUCCUGCCACAGAACUGUCCAGGUCCCUAACCCACCCUCUCUGUUGUUAACAAUAGACAACAGUGCCCUCCCACCCCCCACAACACCGGGAACUGCAGUUCCAGGGGGGUCUGAUGCCCUCUUCUGGCCACUAUGGGAACUGCACACAGGUUGUGCACAGAAAUACAUACAUUCUUUUGUUUGUUUGUUUGUUUUUGUUUUUCCAGACAGCCAAAGCUACAGAGAGAAAUUCUGUCUUGAAAAUCAAGAAACAAACAAACAAACCAAUCAGUCUUAAUAAACUGUCAUUUACAGUGUGGUAUAGAUCAAGGAAGUCAGAAGACAAAGUCUUCUCCAAGCAGGGAGUCCCAGAAGCAAGUCUCCCAUAAACAUGGACCCAAGUGGGUACCCAAGUUCUCUGUUGUUGUUAAAAUGAAGACCCCCCAGCCCCCAAUGCCUUCCCAGAAUCCUCCACCCAAGCCAGGGGAGCUCUGGGAAACUGGCAUGAAGCUGAACAAAGCCACAGCCCACAGCCACAAGUGACUAUUUAAAUUUGUAUC